RNAcentral lists this long non-coding RNA (607 nucleotides) under Cotesia glomerata. Its description in RNAcentral is "uncharacterized LOC123270902, transcript variant X1". The record is from RNAcentral. Lineage: Eukaryota; Metazoa; Arthropoda; Insecta; Hymenoptera; Braconidae.
AUUGUCGUGUGAUUUAAAUAUUUAAACCAUCUGAUUUAAUGAGAUACACUUUGGCUAACGAGACACACCAACAAGUCUAUGGAUUAGACCUUAAAGUUAAGAAGUGUAAAAUUCGGAAUUUAAUCGUCACCGCUUCUGCGUUGUGGUCACACUGAAUUACGAGAGUACACGGACUCGGCAAUCUCUGGUGAUUUAGAUGAGGGCAACUGAGACUACUACGGUACAGUCUGAGUCUGAGUGUGAGACUACCAGGAAGUACAUGGAUCGGAUUAACGCAUUAACGUUUGUCUAGUCGAGCUUUUUUGAGCGAGGGGAUAAAAACCUAACUUGGAUUGCAACUACACAGUCACCAUAGUAAUUACAAUAAUAAUUAUCGGAAUAAUGAAUUUGGCUAGAGUUUUAUGGCACGAUUGAGAUUGAGAAAUAAAUCUCUGAUACGACGAGUCGUAUUCAUCCUCACAAUACUUAAUUUUCGUAUCACAUUUGAAUUACAUAUUUAUAAUAAUAAUUGUUAAUCUUUAAAGUUUUUCCGUCUCGGACUCGAGGGAGUCAAACACUGCAGCGCCGAUAAGGAGGUAGGUGAACGUGCAGACGAUCAACGAUAGGG